CCUACGGGCGGCAGCAGUGGGGAAUAUUGGGCAAUGGGCGCAAGCCUGACCCAGCAACGCCGCGUGAAGGAAGAAGGCUUUCGGGUUGUAAACUUCUUUUCUGAGGGACGAAGCAAGUGACGGUACCUCAGGAAUAAGCCACGGCUAACUACGUGCCAGCAGCCGCGGUAAUACGUAGGUGGCAAGCGUUAUCCGGAUUUAUUGGGUGUAAAGGGCGUGUAGGCGGGACUGCAAGUCAGAUGUGAAAACUCAGGGCUCAACCCUGAGCCUGCAUUUGAAACUGUUGUUCUUGAGUACUGGAGAGGCAAACGGAAUUCCGGGUGUAGCGGUGAAAUGCGUAGAUAUAAGGAGGAACACCAGUGGCGAAGGCGGAUUGCUGGACAGUAACUGACGCUGAGGCGCGAAAGCGUGGGGAGCAAACAGGAUUAGAUACCCGGGUAGUC
Molecule: ribosomal RNA, 443 nt
Filed under: uncultured bacterium
Lineage: Bacteria
Description: partial 16S ribosomal RNA
Rfam family: Bacterial small subunit ribosomal RNA
Source: RNAcentral